This is a non-coding RNA of Dipodomys ordii (Ord's kangaroo rat), 70 nucleotides long. Lineage: Eukaryota; Metazoa; Chordata; Mammalia; Rodentia; Heteromyidae. The record is from Rfam.
GGGAAUAUGGCUUAGUGGUAGAGUACUUGCCUGGCAUGCAUGACACCCCGGGUUCAAUUCCUCAGUACCA